GAUGAAGAACGCAGCGAAAUGCGAUACGUAAUGUGAAUUGCAGAAUUCAGCGAAUCAUCGAGUCUUUGAACGCACAUUGCGCCCCCUGGUAUUCCGGGGGGCAUGCCUGUCCGAGCGUCAUUGCUGCCCUCAAGCACGGCUUGUGUGUUGGGCCUCCGUCCUCCUCCCGGGGGACGGGCCCGAAAGGCAGCGGCGGCACCGCGUCCGGUCCUCGAGCGUAUGGGGCUUCGUCACCCGCUCUUGUAGGCCCGGCCGGCGCUUGCCGACACAUCAAUCUUUUUUCCAGGUUGACCUCGGAUCAGGUAGGGAUACCCGCUGAACUUAAGCAUAUCAAUAAGCGGAGGA
This 345-nucleotide unclassified non-coding RNA is filed under the name soil metagenome. RNAcentral describes it as "partial contains 5.8S ribosomal RNA, internal transcribed spacer 2, and large subunit ribosomal RNA". The stretch from base 1 to 120 matches the Rfam family "5.8S ribosomal RNA", at positions 35 to 154 of the family's 154-position model. The record is from RNAcentral.